GGGCAUUGAUUUACGAUCUCUUUUUAGAGGUCCGACCCCUUCAUUUCCAUACACUGUGCACACACUUCUUUUCACACAUUUUAACACUAUAGUAUAAGAAUGUAACAGUCUCUUUAUUGAGCAUAAAUAAAAAUAAAACUUUCAGCAACGGAUCUCUUGGCUCUCGCAUCGAUGAAGAACGCAGCGAAUUGCGAUAAGUAAUGUGAAUUGCAGAAUUCAGUGAAUCAUCGAAUCUUUGAACGCACCUUGCACUCUUUGGUAUUCCGAAGAGUAUGUCUGUUUGAGUGUCAUGAAACUCUCAACCCCCCUAUUUUGUAAUGAGAUGGGCGUGGGCUUGGAUUAUGACUGUUGUCGGCGUAAUUGCCGGCUCAGUUGAAAUACACGAGCAACCCAUUUGAAAUAAACGGUUUGACUUGGCGUAAUAAUUAUUUCGCUAAGGACGUUUUCUUCAAAAGUAAGAGGUGCUUCUAAUGCGCUAUUACAGCACUUUAAAUUUUAGACCUCAAAUCAGUCAGGACUACCCGCUGAACUUAAGCAUAUCA
RNAcentral lists this ribosomal RNA (542 nucleotides) under fungal sp. TZ-2015a. RNAcentral's name for it is "eukaryotic LSU rRNA". The stretch from base 137 to 290 matches the Rfam family "5.8S ribosomal RNA". Lineage: Eukaryota; Fungi. The record is from RNAcentral.